GUGGUCUUGGAUGAAGUCUGUUUCGAGGUUUUUCGGGGUGAUCUCUGAGACCUCACGGUCGAUGAAGAUUUCGACCUAUCGGACACUUUUCUGAGUCUCUCAUCGUGAUAUCGGAGUGUAUUUUCUCCUCCUGAACAUUCUGGAAGAUUUUAUGAUGAUUUUGGUUGGUUGAUUUUGGGUGACCUAUCGGCUUCUAGGGUUUCUGGUGGUUUAACUUGAGGUUU
Molecule: long non-coding RNA, 224 nt
Filed under: Nicotiana benthamiana
Lineage: Eukaryota; Viridiplantae; Streptophyta; Magnoliopsida; Solanales; Solanaceae
Description: long non-coding RNA (NBEN_LNC027949)
Source: RNAcentral